CACGGAUUCUGUGCCGGAGCUAACGCAAUAAAGCGCCCCACCUGGGGAGUACGGCCGCAAGGCUAAAACUCAAAGGAAUUGACGAGGGGCCCGCACAAGCGGCGGAGCAUGUUGCUUAAUUCGAUGCGACGCGAAGAACCUUACCAAGGUUUGACAUGGGCCGUUUACCUCCAGAGAUGGGGGGUCCUUCGGGGCGGUUCACAGGUGGUGCAUGGCUGUCGUCAGCUCGUGUCGUGAGAUGUUGGGUUAAGUCCCGCAACGAGCGCAACCCUCGUCCUAUGUUGCCAGCGGGUCAUACCGGGGACUCAUGGGAGACUGCCGGGGUCAACUCGGAGGAAGGUGGGGAUGACGUCAAGUCUUCAUGCCCCUUAUGUCUUGGGCUGCAAACAUGCUACAAUGGCCGGUACAGAGCGCUGCGAGCCUGUGAGGGUGAGCGAAUCGCGGAAAGCCGGUCUCAGUUCGGAUCGGGGUCUGCAACCCGGCCCCGUGAAGUCGGAGUCGCUAGUAAUCGCGGAUCAGCAACGCCGCGGUGAAUACGUUCCCGGGCCUUGUACACACCGCCCGUCACGUCACGAAAGUCGGCAACACCCGAAGCCCAUGGCCUAACCCUUCGGGGACGGAGUGGUCGAAGGUGGGGUCGGCGAUUGGGACGAAGUCGUAACAUCGUAAC
Molecule: ribosomal RNA, 670 nt
Filed under: uncultured Actinomycetes bacterium
Lineage: Bacteria; Bacillati; Actinomycetota; Actinomycetes
Description: bacterial SSU rRNA
Rfam family: Bacterial small subunit ribosomal RNA
Source: RNAcentral